This 374-nucleotide ribosomal RNA is filed under the name Eupilumnus laciniatus. Its description in RNAcentral is "partial 12S ribosomal RNA". Lineage: Eukaryota; Metazoa; Arthropoda; Malacostraca; Decapoda; Oziidae. The record is from RNAcentral.
GAUACCCUACUAUACUAAAAAUAAUAUUAAACUAAAUUAUUAAUAGAUAUAUUCUUUAAAUUUAAAGAAUUUGGCGGUGGUUUAGUCUUGUCAGAGGAACCUGUUUUUGAAUCGAUACUCCACGUAAAAUCUUGCUCGUUUUUGUUGUCAGUUUAUAUACCGUCAUUAACAGAUAAUUUUAAAAGAAUAAAUUAUUGAAUUUUAUAAAAUUAAGUUAAAUUAGAUCAAGGUGUAGCUUAUAGAUGAGUUAAAAUGGGUUACAAUAAAAUUUAUUUAUUACGGAAACCAAAUAAAGGAAAAAAGGUAGUAAGGAGGAUUUGAUUGUAAUAUAAAUUUAAUAUGUUUAGAUGAUAUAAGCUCUAAAUCAUGUACAU